GGACGGUGAUCACAAUGGUGUAAAAAUUACAUCGAACAGGAACCAGAAAGUGCCUCAUCGUAGGCAAAAAUUGAGGGAAGCCGCGGCGGCGCUGCUGGACUUCGGCGGUACUUUCUAUCCGAUUGGCCGGUGGUUUGGCUCCCUUUGGCUAUAGGUAGAUUUAGCAUCGAAAAACGAGCUAAGGGUAAAAAAUUUACCUUGUUUGGCGAUCGAAAAACCCUCCGGUGCGGCAGCGGGUGGCGGCGACCAGCUCCUCCAAUGACUGGUUCUUCUUCUUCGACGAGGGUACUAGCGGCUAGGGUUUGGGGUCGGGUGUGGGUGAGGUUAUUUAUAACCUUUCCUUUUUAAUCUCAGCUGUUCUUCACGAUUUAAUCUGGGCCAUCCGAUC
RNAcentral lists this long non-coding RNA (388 nucleotides) under Carica papaya (papaya). RNAcentral's name for it is "long non-coding RNA (CPAP_LNC013999)". The record is from RNAcentral. Lineage: Eukaryota; Viridiplantae; Streptophyta; Magnoliopsida; Brassicales; Caricaceae.